RNAcentral lists this non-coding RNA (45 nucleotides) under Echinostoma caproni. The record is from RNAcentral. Lineage: Eukaryota; Metazoa; Platyhelminthes; Trematoda; Plagiorchiida; Echinostomatidae.
CUACUACUGAUGAGACCGAACCAGGUCGAAACAGCUGUCUAGUGC